Molecule: RNA transcript, 878 nt
Organism: Solenopsis invicta (red fire ant)
Lineage: Eukaryota; Metazoa; Arthropoda; Insecta; Hymenoptera; Formicidae
Exons: 5
Source: RefSeq, a predicted model, not a curated record
UCCGUUAAAGUAUUUGUGAAAAUACUAAACGAUCAACAUGUUAUUCUACUUCGUUUCACUUAAUGUACUGAGUGUCGCAAUACUUGGAUCCUUAGCCAGUGAACUUAAACUCCCUAUAACCACCUGCAAACAAGAUUCAACAAAUUAUUCCGCUUGUUUAAAAUAUUCUUUGGAAGAAGCAUGGCCACAAUUUGUUGCAGGGAUCCCAGAAUUUGACUUUCCAUCUUUGGAGCCAUUAUUUUACAAAUAUGGUAAAACUGUAUUUAAUGCAGGCGAGAUACAUGCACAAGUUAUUUUUUCAAAUAUCAGCGUUUUCGGUAUGUCGAUGGCUCGUUUCUUUGAUAUCAAAACACAUUUUCUUGAUGACGUUUUCCGUUUGGAAAUUGAAGUAUUAUUACCGAAAGUGUUGGUAGAAGGUGUCAUAAAAAUGAAUGGUACUCUAAAUGUAUUUAGAAUUGCUGGUGAAGGUCCUUUUAAUAUAACUAGUGAUGAUGUCAGAUCAACGUGGAAUGCAACAGGACACGUAGUAAAUGAUACAUGGAUUGUAGAAAAUUUCCGUUUAUAUCCAUCAGUUAAAAAACUUGAAGUGUAUUUUGAUCUUCUUCAUGACAAUAAACAACUUAGUAUCUUGGAAGACGUGGAUGAUAUACAUAAGCGCAAACAGCUACGUGAACACGGGAUAGAUGGGCUGCACGUUGUGGCAGGGAUAUUCUCAGGAAAUUCACCAUUUUUAAGCUUAUCCAUGGUACUUAUUUCUCGGGAGAUACGGGAGGCCCAGAGCUUCACUCUGGCAGCGGGCGGAAGGAUACAAAACGAGCGCAAGCUCGCCGGGCGUAAAGGAUGAACGUGUUUUCCAGCCGUAGGAACGAGAUACGUUC